GAUGAACGCUGGCGGCGUGCUUAACACAUGCAAGUCGAACGGUGAAGGCGGAGCUUGCUCUGCUGGAUCAGUGGCGAACGGGUGAGUAACACGUGAGCAAUCUGCCCCUGACUCUGGGAUAAGCGCUGGAAACGGCGUCUAAUACUGGAUACGAGCUGCGAAGGCAUCUUCAGCAGCUGGAAAGAACUUCGGUCAGGGAUGAGCUCGCGGCCUAUCAGCUUGUUGGUGAGGUAACGGCUCACCAAGGCGUCGACGGGUAGCCGGCCUGAGAGGGUGACCGGCCACAAUAGGACUGAGACACGGCCCAGACUCCUACGGGGGGCAGCAGUGGGGAAUAUUGCACAAUGGGCGAAAGCCUGAUGCAGCAACGCCGCGUGAGGGACGACGGCCUUCGGGUUGUAAACCUCUUUUAGCAGGGAAGAAGCGAAAGUGACGGUACCUGCAGAAAAAGCGCCGGCUAACUACGUG
RNAcentral lists this ribosomal RNA (468 nucleotides) under uncultured bacterium. RNAcentral describes it as "partial 16S ribosomal RNA". It matches the Rfam family "Bacterial small subunit ribosomal RNA", at positions 28 to 507 of the family's 1533-position model. The record is from RNAcentral.